AGAGUUUGAUCCUGGCUCAGGAUGAACGCUGGCGGCGUGCCUAACACAUGCAAGUCGAACGGACUUACAUUGAAGCCUAGCGAUAUGUAAGUUAGUGGCGGACGGGUGAGUAACGCGUGGGUAACCUGCCUCAUACAGGGGAAUAACAGUUGGAAACGGCUGCUAAAACCGCAUAAGCGCACAGUAUCGCAUGAUACAGUGUGAAAAACUCCGGUGGUAUGAGAUGGACCCGCGUCUGAUUAGCUAGUUGGUGAGGUAACGGCCCACCAAGGCGACAAUCAGUAGCCGGCCUGAGAGGGUGAACGGCCACAUUGGGACUGAGACACGGCCCGAACUCCUACGGGAGGCAGCAGUGGGGAAUAUUGCACAAUGGGCGAAAGCCUGAUGCAGCAACGCCGCGUGAGCGAUGAAGGCCUUCGGGUCGUAAAGCUCUGUCCUCAAGGAAGAUAAUGACGGUACUUGAGGAGGAAGCCCCGGCUAACUACGUGCCAGCAGCCGCGGUAAUACGUAGGGGGCUAGCGUUAUCCGGAUUUACUGGGCGUAAAGGGUACGUAGGCGGUCUUUUAAGUCAGGAGUGAAAGGCUACGGCUCAACCGUAGUAAGCUCUUGAAACUGGAGGACUUGAGUGCAGGAGAGGAGAGUGGAAUUCCUAGUGUAGCGGUGAAAUGCGUAGAUAUUAGGAGGAACACCAGUAGCGAAGGCGGCUCUCUGGACUGUAACUGACGCUGAGGCACGAAAGCGUGGGGAGCAAACAGGAUUAGAUACCCUGGUAGUCCACGCCGUAAACGAUGAGUACUAGCUGUCGGAGGUUACCCCCUUCGGUGGCGCAGCUAACGCAUUAAGUACUCC
This 849-nucleotide ribosomal RNA is filed under the name uncultured bacterium. RNAcentral describes it as "bacterial SSU rRNA". It matches the Rfam family "Bacterial small subunit ribosomal RNA", at positions 8 to 870 of the family's 1533-position model. The record is from RNAcentral.